Molecule: ribosomal RNA, 525 nt
Filed under: Anaplasma bovis
Lineage: Bacteria; Pseudomonadati; Pseudomonadota; Alphaproteobacteria; Rickettsiales; Anaplasmataceae
Description: bacterial SSU rRNA
Rfam family: Bacterial small subunit ribosomal RNA
Source: RNAcentral
GGAAUCUACCUAGUAGUAUAGGAUAGCCACUAGAAAUGGUGGGUAAUACUGUAUAAUCCCUGCGGGGGAAAGAUUUAUCGCUACAUGAUGAGCCUAUGUUAGAUUAGCUAGUUGGUGGGGUAAUGGCCUACCAAGGCAGUGAUCUAUAGCUGGUCUGAGAGGAUGAUCAGCCACACUGGAACUGAGACACGGUCCAGACUCCUACGGGAGGCAGCAGUGGGGAAUAUUGGACAAUGGGCGCAAGCCUGAUCCAGCUAUGCCGCGUGAGUGAGGAAGGCCUUAGGGUUGUAAAACUCUUUCAGUGGGGAAGAUAAUGACGGUACCCACAGAAGAAGUCCCGGCAAACUCCGUGCCAGCGGCCGCGGUAAUACGGAGGGGGCAAGCGUUGUUCGGAAUUAUUGGGCGUAAAGGGCAUGUAGGUGGUUUGGUAAGUUAAAGGUGAAAUGCCAGGGCUUAACCCUGGAGCUGCUUUUAAUACUGCCAGACUGGAGUCCGGGAGAGGAUAGCGGAAUUCCUAGUGUAGAG